GGCGUGCCUAAUACAUGCAAGUAGAACGCUGAAGGAGGAGCUUGCUUCUCCGGAUGAGUUGCGAACGGGUGAGUAACGCGUAGGUAACCUGCCUGGUAGCGGGGGAUAACUAUUGGAAACGAUAGCUAAUACCGCAUAAUAUUGAUUAUUGCAUGAUAGUCAAUUAAAAGGUGCAAUUGCAUCACUACCAGAUGGACCUGCGUUGUAUUAGCUAGUUGGUGAGGUAACGGCUCACCAAGGCAACGAUACAUAGCCGACCUGAGAGGGUGAUCGGCCACACUGGGACUGAGACACGGCCCAGACUCCUACGGGAGGCAGCAGUAGGGAAUCUUCGGCAAUGGACGGAAGUCUGACCGAGCAACGCCGCGUGAGUGAAGAAGGUUUUCGGAUCGUAAAGCUCUGUUGUAAGAGAGGAACGAGUGUGAGAGUGGAAAGUUCACACUGUGACGGUAUCUUACCAGAAAGGGACGGCUAACUACGUGCCAGCAGCCGCGGUAAUACGUAGGUCCCGAGCGUUGUCCGGAUUUAUUGGGCGUAGAGCGAGCGCAGGCGGUUAGAUAAGUCUGAAGUUAAAGGCUGUGGCUUAACCAUAGUACGCUUUGGAAACUGUUUAACUUGAGUGCAAGAGGGGAGAGUGGAAUUCCAUGUGUAGCGGUGAAAUGCGUAGAUAUAUGGAGGAACACCGGUGGCGAAAGCGGCU
This 700-nucleotide ribosomal RNA is filed under the name uncultured Streptococcus sp. RNAcentral describes it as "bacterial SSU rRNA". It matches the Rfam family "Bacterial small subunit ribosomal RNA", at positions 41 to 726 of the family's 1533-position model. Lineage: Bacteria; Bacillati; Bacillota; Bacilli; Lactobacillales; Streptococcaceae. The record is from RNAcentral.